AUGUUGUGUGCAUUUGAUUUCAGAAUGUUUUUAACCCGCCAUGCAUGAUAAUCGUGUGGUAGCUACAUGUAUGUUAGAUUGCUGGACAUCUGAAGGAGCUUGAAUAGGUAUUUCACCAUCUUAUGCAACACCGUUGCGUAUCUACACCUAUAUCAUGUUUAUUAACUAAACGUUCUUCCAUGUGAAACUCACUAGAUCUUUGGUAUGUGUUUUCCUCCAAUCCUUGCUUAACUGUGUGAUGUUGAAUCAUUUAAAAUGGAUGUUGAAUCCUACAUGCUAUGCUAUGUCAUGCUGAUUUAUAAUUUGAUUUCCUAUUAUUGUUGGCAAGCUCUUGCUCGCAGUUCACAUUGUAUGAUUGGUAUUUUGUGCAUGACAUGGUGCGGAUUUCCUAGCUUCUUCAAGAAUGUCUGCUUGGUUUCUCCUGAUUUUGUAAAUUCUUUCUUCGGUGACUUCUGUAAUUCAUGAAUGUGUGUCACUCGUCAUGUUAGUUUAUGCCUUUUGCUCGGGUUUUGGAUCUAUUAAUUGGACUAAUUAAUAGAUUUAACUUACUUAAUGUUUAGAUAGCAUCUUAGGACCUUUGUAUGUCUGUGAAACUGUGAGUAGAAACACUUGAAAUUUGAUGUUUUGCUGGCUACCUAUUAUUGCAGUUAUAGAAGGUCAUGACUGACCUGUGAAACACUUGGGCACACCAAAGGUUGGUGAUUCGAAUCAAAGAUUAGUGUAUGCUAUGUUACGUUGUUUCCCUCAUCUGAUUAUUGUUGCUGCCGGGUUAACAUGAAUGCUAAGUUAUAGGCGUCUUGACUAAUUAAUAAAUGAAACCGAAGAGGAUGGGCAGAAAGCAAACUAAUUUUAUGUACGCCCAACAUUGUUUCUUUGGAUGCUUAUAUGAAUGGUUUUAAACUUUUAAUGGAUGAGCUGAUGGCAUAACUUGGUUCUCCUCUUACAGAUAAGCGCAUUCAUGUUCUGAAGCAAUGCCUUCUUGAACGUGUAUAGGAAAUAAGCUCCGAUGCAUUUAUUUUAGUACUUGGAUACUCUUUUGCUUACAUGUCUGCCGGGAAGAUACAAUGUCCUACAAGUUCGAAUACAGAGCUACCACUAUAAAUUCUACUUGGUUGCAUCUGACCUAAUGUUAUUCAUUUCCUUCUGCUCCAGACAAGACAAGCAGCAGCGGCGACGCCGGACCAGUCACCCCCGCACCUCCAGUUUUCCUUCAGGGUAACUAACCACGGGCAAAUGCUUCUGUCAUUUCUUUCGCUUGUGAUUCCUCUCGUUGGGACCAUGGUUGUUGCCUUUCCCUCUGCCUGUAAAAUCGUACUGCAGAGGCAUCUAGCACCCACCAUGAACAUCGGUGUGAGGUCUUGGAUCAAGGCUCCCCUGGACCAGCAUCGUCUGCUAGCGCACGCGUGCCUGCUUCUGUGCAGAUUGACUGAUCUAGCCUCCACCUAAAUUUCCUGCAAUUACGAUUCAGCAAGAGAUCAUAGGUAGUCUAAUUUGUUUUCCCAAAACCUAAGUUCAACGAUGGAGUUAGAUACAGAUUAUCCAUAUGCAUAUUCUGUCCAUAUUACUGUCCUGAACAGAUAGCCUGAUUGUUCCACUUAAUUUAGGUCACUAAUUACAUGCAAAUAGUACUACACUAUACGUCUAAUUUUUCUGCAAUUGCUUCAUUAGAUAGCCUGAGUGUUCAAAAAAUUGUUCUAUACUUUGUCUUUGUCUUCCCUGAUUUUAAUUAACCCUGUUGAGCUUCUUUAUGACGUAGGCUGUGAGCCUUGUGUUGGGAGGAUCCCAGGCCGAAUGAUGCUUGAUCUCCUUUUGGAGGAGCUUGUGUUUACCGCAGCCCGUUAUAGUCGAAGGGGCUAUUUAAGUAACACCAUGAGUUCAUUUACUGGUGUUCGAUCCUCCGAUGAGGCAGCGGCGGAAGACUUGCCUUUUUGAAGCCAUCAGGACCAUCGAAAAUGCCACAAGAACAGUGGUCAAAGAUCUGAAUUAUGGACGCUUAAACAAGAUGGAACAAGACUUUGGUUAUCUAAGGCUCAGGCUCAAUGAAGCAUUUGACACAAUAGACAGGGUUGCCAAAGGAUAUUUGUAUGCUAUAAGAUACAUGCCAGCUUUCUUACAUCAGCUUCAUAAUGUGAUAGCACAUACUUUUCCUCCUACUCGUGUUGUGGACAAGUCAACAAAUGAGGCUCUCAAGAAUAUUGAGGUGGUAGCUCAUAAUCUCAGGACAGAAGCAAUAGUCUUGAGAACAAGCUAUAUGUGUUGAGAAGGCAGAGUCAAGCGCGCGUGAACAUGUGUAGCUUGCUUUCGGACUAAAUCCUUUGUAGUUGUGUGGACCAACUUUUAUAUACUAAGGGCGUGUUCGGUAGCCCUCCAGUCCUCCACAGCCACCAACUCCUCAACUCCAUCGCCAGGAUCUUCUCGCCAGCUUCUCCCGAGCGAGCCGGGAGCGAGCGAAACGUUCGGAGACACGGCUUCUCGCUCGUACCAUGAGUCAGUCUGAAGCCCAUGAAAUUGUCCCAAUGUGGCCCAAUCAACUCGAAAUUUGUAGCAGGCUCAUAGCCCAAUUCGCUGCCGGUUCGUUUCUUCGCGGUGGGAUUGGUCGGUCGUGCGAGUCGUGGGAUUAGAAGCUCGAACCGGUACGCUCAGGCACACUUCGCGGUGGCAGCCUCGUGUAAUUUUGAACAACUCCAACUUCUCAUUUUUUCUGGAGCUCGGGUUGGGCAACUCCACGACUCCUUCGAUUUUGCACGACGCUCAACUCCAGCUUCUCUCGCCCAUAGCCACGUUUUGAAACGUUCGGCUGCACGCCCGACCUGGAGUCUAGGAUUUGAGGAGCAGGAGGGCUCCCGAACACGCCCUAAAUAUGUAUAGCCUGCUUUUGGACUGAAGCUGUUGUUUCCUGAACCAAUUGCUAUGUAUUGAAUGUG
RNAcentral lists this long non-coding RNA (2924 nucleotides) under Triticum aestivum (bread wheat). RNAcentral's name for it is "long non-coding RNA (TAES_LNC014438)". Lineage: Eukaryota; Viridiplantae; Streptophyta; Magnoliopsida; Poales; Poaceae. The record is from RNAcentral.